GGUUAUGGAUCAGUGGUAGAGUGCUCGCCUAGCAUGCGCAAAGCCCUGGGUUCAAUCCUCAGCACCA
RNAcentral lists this transfer RNA (67 nucleotides) under Marmota monax (woodchuck). RNAcentral describes it as "tRNA.Ala". Lineage: Eukaryota; Metazoa; Chordata; Mammalia; Rodentia; Sciuridae. The record is from RNAcentral.